RNAcentral lists this long non-coding RNA (533 nucleotides) under Bos taurus (domestic cattle). RNAcentral describes it as "long non-coding RNA NONBTAT013527". Lineage: Eukaryota; Metazoa; Chordata; Mammalia; Artiodactyla; Bovidae. The record is from RNAcentral.
AUUUAACUUCUUUACUGUCAAUGAUCUUUUCAUUAUAAAGUGCAAAUUUACUCCGUCUCCUUAGUGCUCUGAUCUUAAAAUGUCAUAUCCGCACAUCCAGACAGCUGUAUCUUAUUCCAUGUUAAUUCUGGUGGAUAACAUUUACACUAAUAUUGAAGAUGAUAUGAUGCAGGUUUUCUGUGCUUUAUCCUGAGGUGUGAGGCCCUCCAGCCGACUGAGUACAAUGUAAGCAGAGAGAGACUGUUCACUUCUCUGUAAGGAAGUAAGCAGGCUGUUUGAUGCCUGUGGCUUAGUGGGAAAAUAUAUAAACUGGAGUCAAGAGUCACUUGAGGGAUAGUUUCUUUAUCUGUAAAGAGGCAAAAAAAAAAAUUUUUUUUGUUUCUCCUACAUCAAAGUUUUAUUGCAAAGACUGAAUAAAAGAAUGCAGAAAUUAUAUCUGAUUCCAGAAGCUAUAACUGGUAUUAUUUCAGUUUUCUGGUUUUGUCUGCUCCCCAGUAUUAUAAUAAUUGAUGAAUGAGUUUUUAAGGAAACAA